RNAcentral lists this ribosomal RNA (910 nucleotides) under Bacillus subtilis. RNAcentral describes it as "bacterial SSU rRNA". It matches the Rfam family "Bacterial small subunit ribosomal RNA", at positions 9 to 900 of the family's 1533-position model. Lineage: Bacteria; Bacillati; Bacillota; Bacilli; Caryophanales; Bacillaceae. The record is from RNAcentral.
GCAUUUGAUCAUGGCUCAGGACGAACGCUGGCGGCGUGCCUAAUACAUGCAAGUCGAGCGGACAGAUGGGAGCUUGCUCCCUGAUGUUAGCGGCGGACGGGUGAGUAACACGUGGGUAACCUGCCUGUAAGACUGGGAUAACUCCGGGAAACCGGGGCUAAUACCGGAUGGUUGUUUGAACCGCAUGGUUCAAACAUAAAAGGUGGCUUCGGCUACCACUUACAGAUGGACCCGCGGCGCAUUAGCUAGUUGGUGAGGUAACGGCUCACCAAGGCGACGAUGCGUAGCCGACCUGAGAGGGUGAUCGGCCACACUGGGACUGAGACACGGCCCAGACUCCUACGGGAGGCAGCAGUAGGGAAUCUUCCGCAAUGGACGAAAGUCUGACGGAGCAACGCCGCGUGAGUGAUGAAGGUUUUCGGAUCGUAAAGCUCUGUUGUUAGGGAAGAACAAGUACCGUUCGAAUAGGGCGGUACCUUGACGGUACCUAACCAGAAAGCCACGGCUAACUACGUGCCAGCAGCCGCGGUAAUACGUAGGUGGCAAGCGUUGUCCGGAAUUAUUGGGCGUAAAGGGCUCGCAGGCGGUUUCUUAAGUCUGAUGUGAAAGCCCCCGGCUCAACCGGGGAGGGUCAUUGGAAACUGGGGAACUUGAGUGCAGAAGAGGAGAGUGGAAUUCCACGUGUAGCGGUGAAAUGCGUAGAGAUGUGGAGGAACACCAGUGGCGAAGGCGACUCUCUGGUCUGUAACUGACGCUGAGGAGCGAAAGCGUGGGGAGCGAACAGGAUUAGAUACCCUGGUAGUCCACGCCGUAAACGAUGAGUGCUAAGUGUUAGGGGGUUUCCGCCCCUUAGUGCUGCAGCUAACGCAUUAAGCACUCCGCCUGGGGAGUACGGUCGCAUGUCAAAUUG